Acanthosepion pharaonis is the source of this 113-nucleotide non-coding RNA. Lineage: Eukaryota; Metazoa; Mollusca; Cephalopoda; Sepiida; Sepiidae. The record is from the annotation of a GenBank genome assembly.
GGCCAUGUCUCGGCGAAACUCCGUUUCCCGGACGAUUACUGAAGUUAAGCGACGUCGUCGAGCUUGGUCAGUAGCUAGAUGGGUGACCGCUUGGGAAUACCAGGUACUGCAGG